GUGGGGAAUAUUGGACAAUGGGCGAAAGCCUGAUCCAGCCAUGCCGCGUGAGUGAUGAAGGCCUUAGGGUUGUAAAGCUCUUUCAGUAGGGAAGAUAAUGACGGUACCCACAGAAGAAGCCCCGGCUAACUUCGUGCCAGCAGCCGCGGUAAUACGAAGGGGGCUAGCGUUGUUCGGAUUUACUGGGCGUAAAGCGCACGUAGGCGGAUCGUUAAGUCGAGGGUGAAAUCCUGGAGCUCAACUCCAGAACUGACUUCGAUACUGGCGAUCUUGAGUCCGGAAGAGGUGAGUGGAACUCCUAGUGUAGAGGUGGAAUUCGUAGAUAUUAGGAAGAACACCAGUGGCGAAGGCGGCUCACUGGUCCGGUACUGACGCUGAGGUGCGAAAGCGUGGGGAGCAAACAGGAUUAGAAACCCUUGUAGUCC
This 425-nucleotide ribosomal RNA is filed under the name uncultured bacterium. Its description in RNAcentral is "partial 16S ribosomal RNA". It matches the Rfam family "Bacterial small subunit ribosomal RNA", at positions 354 to 796 of the family's 1533-position model. The record is from RNAcentral.